This 440-nucleotide long non-coding RNA is filed under the name Phoenix dactylifera (date palm). RNAcentral's name for it is "long non-coding RNA (PDAC_LNC012707)". The record is from RNAcentral. Lineage: Eukaryota; Viridiplantae; Streptophyta; Magnoliopsida; Arecales; Arecaceae.
UGUCUUUGCUUGGUUCAAUCGGGGGAUUGAAUCAAGGGUGUAGAGGUUGGUUGGUGAGCCGAGUGUAAAACCAACGUGUAAGGGUUCGAUUGUGAUUCCGGAAAAACAAUCGAGGUGGUUCUAGUCGGUGAGCCAGGGAAAACCGACCGAGUUCGUUGUGAGCUCGUAAAACAACAAGUUUGGUUGUGAGCUUGUAAAACAACCGACUGUAAUCCAAGGGGUUAUAGUGAAUUCCCAAGUGAGACUUGGAGAGUGGACGUAGGAGCAAGGGUUAGCUCCGAACCACUAUAAAACAUUGUGUUUGUGAUUGUUUGUCUCUCUCUAGUUCUCUCACUUCAUUCACAGCACAUAACAACUAAUUAAUCAUCUCACAAAAGCAUUAAUUAGUCAUCCUCAAAAGUUUAAUUGCAAAAUUAUUUUAAAACCCAAUUCACCCCCCC